AUGUCGUUUUUCGACGGCAUCCUUGUUUUCAGUCGCACACUAGCUCUACACAUCCAACAUUUACGGCAGGUCUUGUCCCUCCUACGAAAAGAUCAAUGGUAUGUCAAGCGAUCCAAGUGUGUGUUAACCCAACAAGGAAUCAAGUACCUGGGCCACACUAUUUCUGCACAAGGGGUCUCCAUCGACAACAACAAAGUUCAAUAGGUGGUUGAUUGGCCGGUGCCAGCGUGUGUCAAGGAUGUUUGA
RNAcentral lists this ribosomal RNA (246 nucleotides) under Triticum aestivum (bread wheat). RNAcentral describes it as "partial small subunit ribosomal RNA". The record is from RNAcentral. Lineage: Eukaryota; Viridiplantae; Streptophyta; Magnoliopsida; Poales; Poaceae.